RNAcentral lists this ribosomal RNA (509 nucleotides) under uncultured Glomeromycotina. Its description in RNAcentral is "SSU rRNA". It matches the Rfam family "Eukaryotic small subunit ribosomal RNA", at positions 567 to 1078 of the family's 1831-position model. The record is from RNAcentral. Lineage: Eukaryota; Fungi; Glomeromycota.
CCAGCAGCCGCGGUAAUUCCAGCUCCAAUAGCGUAUAUUAAAGUUGUUGCAGUUAAAAAGCUCGUAGUUGAAUUUCGGGGUCAGUAGAUUGGUCGUGCCACUGGUAUGUACUGGUCUUACUGGCUCCUCCUUCCUGAUGAACCGUAAUACCAUUAAUUUGGCGUUGCGGGGAGACUGGACUGUUACUUUGAAAAAAUUAGAGUGUUUAAAGCAGGCUAACGCUUGGAUACAUUAGCAUGGAAUAAUGAAAUAGGACGUUCGAUCUUAUUUUGUUGGUUUCUAAGAUUGACGUAAUGAUUAAUAGGGAUAGUUGGGGGCAUUAGUAUUCAAUUGUCAGAGGUGAAAUUCUUGGAUUUAUUGAAGACUAACUACUGCGAAAGCAUUUGCCAAGGAUGUUUUCAUUAAUCAAGAACGAAAGUUAGGGGAUCGAAGACGAUCAGAUACCGUCGUAGUCUUACCAUAAACUAUGCCGACUAGGGAUCGGAUGAUGUUAAUUUUUUAAUGGCUCA